Non-coding RNA from Xyrichtys novacula (pearly razorfish), 4476 nucleotides. The record is from the annotation of a GenBank genome assembly. Lineage: Eukaryota; Metazoa; Chordata; Actinopteri; Labriformes; Labridae.
CUUUUGAGUCCUGAGAACUUAAUUGAGUAGCACAAGUGAUAAUACAUUAGUUUCUACCAACUUAAAUCAUCUACAGUGAAAAAUGACCGCUCUGUCUCACACUAUAAACAGGCAGAGUGAGUUUGUAGCAAACCGCAGCACUGCCUCAUGAAAGCUACUUUAGCAUGAAAGCUACUGUUAGCAUGAAAGAUACUGUUAACAUGAAAGCUACUGUUAACAUGAAAGCUACUGUUAACAUGAAAGCUACUGUUAGCAUGAAAGAUACCAAUGGCAUGAAAGUUACCGCUAACAUGAAUGCUACCAAUGGUAUGAAAGCUAUAGUUAGCAUGACAGCUAUUGUUAGCAUGAAAGCUAUAGUUAGCAUGAAAGCUAUUGUUGGCAUGACAGCUAUUGUUAGCAUGAAAGAUACCAGUGGCAUGAAAGUUAUUAUUUGCAUGAAAGCUACCCUUGACAUAAAAGCUAGUGUUAGCAUGAAAGCUAUUAUUAGCGUGAAAGCUACCUUUAACAUGAAAGCUACAAAUGGCAUGAAAGCUAUUGUUAGCAUGAAAGCUAUUGUUGGCAUGACAGCUAUAGUUAGCAUGACAGCUAUUGUUAGCAUGAAUGCUAUAGUUAGCAUGAAAGCUAUAGUUAGCAUGACAGCUAUUGUUAGCAUGAAAGCUAUAGUUAGCAUGAAAGCUAUUGUUGGCAUGACAGCUAUUGUUAGCAUGAAAGAUACCAGUGGCAUGAAAGUUAUUAUUUGCAUGAAAGCUACCCUUGACAUAAAAGCUAGUGUUAGCAUGAAAGCUAUUAUCAGCACCCAUCAAAUGCUUGUCUUUCUCUACAUCAGUGUGUUUGUUUACAUCCUGUCACAAACCCUUAUAUUUACAUCCCAUCCUUUAAUUUUUCCUUUUCUUUGAGUCACGAUGUUUCGUUAAAAUGUAUUUUCCUCUUCUCACACGAAUCUAGCAAACAGACUCUUGAUUUAAGACGGAUAAUAAAUAUUCUAACUUCAAAAUACUGAAAAAGAAAACCUUACCGAGCAGAAACUAUCCUUGUACGUUACGACGACAACUUUCGUUUCGUUUUUGACGUUUUUAAGCAGUAAAACGUCAGAUUAGUUUUUCUACUUUCACUCCAUUAGACGACAUUUCCAGUUCUGCCUAACACAUCAGCAUACAUUCGAAGAACAAUAUCUUAAUGCACUCUGAGCCGCUGAGAUUACUUCAGAGUCAGUUACAAGACAACAAAAGGUUUUUCUAACAAGAGCCGGUCUUUAAUUAUUCAGAAAUGACAAAUAAGUCCUCUUUGGUGCCUGCCAUCCCCACAUCCCCAUAAAAGACAUCGGGGGGAAGUCAUUAAACUUUAAAUUCACAGUGACGUCUCCCCCUCGUGUUGUGCUGAGUGGAAAAAAAAGAAAAAUCUUUUAUCAUAUCAGUGUCUCUGUUUCUGUCCGAGAGUCUUUCAGCGUCCAUUAAACACUGAAACCAGGGACCCUGCUGGCUGGAGAGGAAGAGCGAGACAAGCUUUUAAUGCUGUGUGUUGUUUUCUGUCGACUGUGAGACAGUAGAGGAACUAAAAGAGGCUUUUUAACUCUGUUUUAACUCGACGCAGAGUCCUUUUCGGGGCUGAGGAACAACGCUGCCCCUCUAGAGACAGUCAUAUCUGGAGCUGUAUCUAAGGAUGUUUGUCACUUUGGAUUCGUUUCUGCUGCUCGUAAUGUGUUCUACCUCCGUUUCAGUUAGCAGACAUUUAAAGGGAACAUUUUAUUUCACUUCUGGGAGUUGUCUUGUUUAGGAGAAAGUUUGCAGGAAAAAUAAAAUAGUUUGAAACCGAAGACGAGCUGACAAUUUAGUGAGCAGACUGAUUUUUUUCUGUCACAGCUCUACGUCUGAAUCCUCUCAAUUAUUUUAACGGUUUCUGUAUCAGUCAUCUCUUUACUCCGUCCUUUAGCUUUCCAGACACACACCUGCCUCCUCCUCCUGAAAACUGAACCAAACAGAAGACUUAGAGGUGCACAUUUCCCUCGUAAAGAUGCUUACAAUGAGUGUUUGAAAAGUCUGACACUGCUGUAAACCCCUGAAUCUGUGCUUGGAGCUCAGUUUGGGAACAUUCAAUGACCUGCACUUAUUUAAAAAUAACUCAAAUCUGUACUCAGCUACUUCACACACUCCUGGAAAUCCCUGCUCGAGGCGUCAUUCAUCAUAUCCUCACUGUUUCGAGUUUAUCACCUGAAGUUUCCAGCUAUGACGCAUCUUUGCAUCUUAAACAUCCAUUAAUUUUUGCUAUUUUAAGCUCUUUAAUUGCCUCCACAAGCUGUGAACCGCGGACCUGACUGCUGCUGCCGCUGCUGUAUCUCUCGGUUAAGUGGGCCAAACAACUUCAAUCCUGUAUUUUCAUCACUUUUCAGAUCAGGUAGUUUCUCCGUCCAGUCUUAAACUCUCGCCUCGCAGUUUGAAAACUCUGCUCUUUAAAAAAAGUGAUGGAUGGUCACAGACGGCUUGUGUAACGAGCAGUUUCUUCUGCAAAUAAGUAAGAAAAAGCGCCGGGUGUCUUUACAAUGUUACUGCCUCCUUAAAUCUCUGCAGUUUUGCUGCACCGUGAAAAAAUAUAAGAGAUGGGAGAGAUGUAAAUCAAAGAGCGGUAACGGCCUGGAGAUAACAAGAAAUUCAGCCCUUUAGAUAUGCCCUCCAUGAUGGAUGGAUUUUCCUCUCUUUAUUGGCUCUUUAAACUUUUCCCAACAAUGAGGUUAGGCGGUGAGACGCUGAUAAUACCUGUGCAGUGUGUGUGUAUUUGCCCACCAAGACCGAGAAGUAUCUACAAACUGUUGAGUCCUUCUCUACCAACUCCGGCUUUACCAAGAAGGGAGAGACAACUAUUCAUGAGCGUCCUAAACAAACAAAAAAAGAAGUCUUUCCCCCCCUCACACUGGGAGAUUACAUGCUUGGGAAGGAUUUCCAAGUGCAUAUCAGGCACUUGAGAAAAUGAACUCUUCAAGCAGAAAGCUGUGCAUCAGAGAGAGGCAGCAGGCGGCGGCUGAGUUGAGUCUGUGUUUUCAUACCGAAGAAUAAGCAGGAAGAAGCUGAAAGACUUCAAAGUGCUGUUUUUGUGCCACCAGAGUAUUCCACGGAUAAUAGACUUAAGGGGAAGAUCUAUCAAACAGCACACUUGAGGACUUUAACGUGAGAUGAGAGUGAGUGGAGGGUUUGAGUGCAUCCAUGUUUAAUAGGAGCGCUUGAUCAUAGAAAUGUGUUUGUGUUGACGCGUGUGUGUGUGCGCGUGUGCACUCUCUAGGUGCGAUUUAACCGAAGGCAGGUUCACGGGUGUCACUUAUGCUUCUAUAUUUGUAAACUGAAUAUGUUAAUGAGCGCCCUGUCCGCCCACGCACAGCCGUCCACCUACAAACGCGCUCAGAGGAGGCGCCGCGGGGCCGCAGGGGUACAGCUUAUUUAUGCAAACCUCUCCUGUUGAUCGCUGCCAACUUUGAUACAUGUUGAAUUAUUUCCAUCAGCGCGCGCUCAUCGCCCAAUACAGGGCCCGAUCAGUCACGGUUAACCACAUUGGAAAAGAGCGAGGCGUGCACUCCCAUGCACCGUCGACCGGCUGCAGACGUAAACAUCUGAAGUGACUCGAUGAUAAAGCACGGCCGGCCGCCUGUGCUCGGUAGAAUAAUGGCCGAAUACUUAUCAAUAUUAGGCAGGGGGUCUGUCCUGUUAGAGCCUCGCAGCGGAGUCAUUAAUUGUGCCGGGCUCAUAAAUUAUAUGCAAAUACGCCGAUGACAUUCUGAUAUGUAAAUAAUGUCACUUUUUAAUCAUGAAGAGCGGAGAUAAUGCACUUGCUUUUAGAUGGAGCCGUAUAAGAGCUCUGCAAAUGUGGAAAUACUGACUCCAGGAUUAUAUUAGUUUAUUACUGAGACUUUUAUUUCAUUAAAGCCUCCAUAAAACACAACAGAGCCAAAGAGCCGCGUCGUUUCAAAUCAUCCUGUUAUUUGAGGAUGAUUUUUACAUGUCCCGUCGAACUGAAUUCAAAUAAACAUCAUUUUCUUUGUGAAGACGUCUGUCUUUAAUGUCAGCUGCGUGUGCAUGUCUUCAUGAUCUCAUUACCUCUCUUAUGUGACAACAUCACGGCAUCAACGGGUGGUCAUGGUCUGUCAGUGGGGGGUCUUUUUGCAUAAUCCUGUUCUAUAAGAUCUAAAAUAAAAACCAUAAUAAGCUGAAGAAUAACCCACGUAGUAUUUACAUAGGAGGUCUUUGAAGCUCAUGUGAAGAAAAUCCAGUCCACAGGAGACAUCCAGUCACUUUGACCGUAACGUACCUCUGAUCUCUCAGCUGAUUUUGUCACGUACAUGUUUAAAGUCUCACUACAAUCAUUUUUUUAACUACUUAAAGUGUUCUCAGUGGUCUUUAAAUUGUGAUUAUGAAGUUUUUAGCCAAAAUCACGUUACCUGUGUCAAAUUUAAGGGCUCUUCUUCUGCAGAGCUCAUAAACAAUUCGCCUCUGA